GGGCGGGUAUCCAAGUGGUUAAAGGAUGCAGACUGUAAAUCUGUUACCGUAAGGUUUCGCUGGUUCAAAUCCAGCCCCGCUCACCA
This 86-nucleotide transfer RNA is filed under the name Caudoviricetes sp. Its description in RNAcentral is "tRNA-Tyr". It matches the Rfam family "tRNA". Rfam says of the family: Transfer RNA (tRNA) molecules are approximately 80 nucleotides in length. Their secondary structure includes four short double-helical elements and three loops (D, anti-codon, and T loops). Further hydrogen bonds mediate the characteristic L-shaped molecular structure. tRNAs have two regions of fundamental functional importance: the anti-codon, which is responsible for specific mRNA codon recognition, and the 3' end, to which the tRNAs corresponding amino acid is attached (by aminoacyl-tRNA synthetases). tRNAs cope with the degeneracy of the genetic code in two manners: having more than one tRNA (with a specific anti-codon) for a particular amino acid; and 'wobble' base-pairing, i.e. permitting non-standard base-pairing at the 3rd anti-codon position. Lineage: Duplodnaviria; Heunggongvirae; Uroviricota; Caudoviricetes. The record is from RNAcentral.